This 289-nucleotide long non-coding RNA is filed under the name Vitis vinifera (wine grape). RNAcentral's name for it is "long non-coding RNA (VVIN_LNC006070)". Lineage: Eukaryota; Viridiplantae; Streptophyta; Magnoliopsida; Vitales; Vitaceae. The record is from RNAcentral.
CGGCUUAAAUUCCAAAACCCUUGAUUACUAGAACCAAUACCAACAGAUACACCAACAUCACAAAAUCAUUUAAGAAAAAUAAAUUUAAGUCUGCAGAAUUCUCUCAAAUAAGUCGCACUUGCCUUGCUUUAUAUAUAUAUAUAUAUAUAUAUAUAUAUUAACCUUUUUUGACAAGGGAAAUAACCAAAACGAUGUACUUGGGUGUAGUCUUUGACAAGUGAUCAUCCACAAUGUCGCCAUACCUUUUAAAUAGAUCAUCCAUUAUAUGUCCUCCAAAGUGGAAUUCCAG